RNAcentral lists this ribosomal RNA (813 nucleotides) under Acinetobacter baumannii. Its description in RNAcentral is "bacterial SSU rRNA". It matches the Rfam family "Bacterial small subunit ribosomal RNA", at positions 74 to 888 of the family's 1533-position model. Lineage: Bacteria; Pseudomonadati; Pseudomonadota; Gammaproteobacteria; Moraxellales; Moraxellaceae. The record is from RNAcentral.
GGGGGCUGGCCCCUUAGCUUAGCGGCGGACGGGUGAGUAAUGCUUAGGAAUCUGCCUAUUAGUGGGGGACAACAUUCCGAAAGGGAUGCUAAUACCGCAUACGCCCUACGGGGGAAAGCAGGGGAUCUUCGGACCUUGCGCUACAAGAUGAGCCUAAGUCGGAUUAGCUAGUUGGUGGGGUAAAGGCCUACCAAGGCGACGAUCUGUAGCGGGUCUGAGAGGAUGAUCCGCCACACUGGGACUGAGACACGGCCCAGACUCCUACGGGAGGCAGCAGUGGGGAAUAUUGGACAAUGGGGGGAACCCUGAUCCAGCCAUGCCGCGUGUGUGAAGAAGGCCUUUUGGUUGUAAAGCACUUUAAGCGAGGAGGAGGCGCUCUAGGAUAAUACCCUAGAUGCGUGGACGUUACUCGCAGAAUAAUCACCGGCUAACUCUGUGCCAGCAGCCGCGGUAAUACAAAGGGUGCGAGCGUUAAUCGGAUUUACUGGGCGUAAAGCGCGCGUAGGUGGCUAAUUAAGUCAAAUGUGAAAUCCCCCAGCUUAACUUGGGAAUUGCAUUCGAUACUGGUUAGCUAGAGUAUGGGAGAGGAUGGUAGAAUUCCAGGUGUAGCGGGGAAAUGCGUAAAGAUCUGGAGGAAUACCGAUGGCGAACGCCCCCAUCUGGCCUAAUACUAACACUGAGGUGCGAAAGCAUGGGGGGCAAACAUGAGUAGAUACCCGGGGGAUCCAUCCCGUAAACAAGUCUACAAACCGUUGGGGGUUUGAAGUUUAAUGGGCAACUAAUCCGAUAUUAGACCCCUGGGGGAGACGGCCC